AUGAGACCGGGCUAUGAGACGCCAUCCAAUGGAGCUAUACAUUGGCAGAGUCAAUUUGUGCGAGAAAAAACACAGAAACGUAAAAUUGCAUGGUCAAACUUCUUCUUUAUAGGGGCUUUUUCAAGAUGUCUAGCAACUGUACUGACGUUUCCAUUUAUUAUCAUUCAAAAUUUUCCGAGAGUGUUUGUUUUUCAACGGCGCGGUCUUGUUAUAUUCGAAUCAAACCUGCGGGCUGAUAAUUCGUCCAAAUGGCAUCCAAAAAUGUUUGCUGAUCUCGUCGAAGGAACGGGCUUUAAAAUCGUCCGGCAUUUGAUCUCCCAGAAGAGUAGCCUCUAAACCCCUGUGGAUCCAGGAUUCCCUAUUCGGCACGGGAAGGGAAACGCGAAGGGAAGAAUGCAGCCAGCUCGCCCGCGGGGCGAAGUGUCGACCCGCCUCCAAUACACAAAAGUCGGUAACCUGAAACGGUAACCCUUUUCUCUCUUUGUUUCACCUCUUAAAGGUAGAAAAUUUUUCAAAAUUAGCUCUCUUCAUCCCCCAAACGGCUUUUUUCUGCUUUCUUUCACUUGGCCUUUUUUCAAAUUUUUACUUGUUUUUUGUGCAUUUUUCUGUGAUUGUCGCGUCAAAAUGUUCAAAUCUCGCGUUUAAGUUCUUUCUCUUUAAUUAAAAUCACGCUUUUUCUCAAUUUUUCGCGAAAAUUCUCUCAUAAUUCACUCAAAUCCCCAAUUUUAAACUUUUUCGAAAUUUUCGAUUUUUUUUUCAAAUUUCGCACGUUUUUCGGCAAGUUCGGACUAAUACUAACACCAAAAUGUCGAAAUCACGCGCUUAAAUUACUUACUUUUUCUGAAAAUCUCGAAAAAUCUCUAAGAUCUCUCAAAAAAUUCGAAAAAACCGCCGUUUUUCCGAAUUUUUCAAGGCUAUUCAAAGUUCGGGAUUGAACAGUCAAAAAUCAUCAUAUUCCUUCUAUUUUCUCUCUAAAAUAAGGCACUUGUUCAUAUUCCUUCAGAAAUGAUAGCCGAAAAAUCAACUUUUCAAGCGCCGCUUCUCGGACUCUAAACUGCCCAUUUCUCGUUCUCAGACCCGCUCCCAGGGCAUCGGAGCUUUCCCAAAAACCGAAAAAUCUCCCGCGGAGCUCCUUCGCGCUCAUCACUCGCUUCGCUCGCUCUUCUGUCGCUGCGCCUUAGCGCACGUCGCUCCGCGCGUG
This 1201-nucleotide long non-coding RNA is filed under the name Bemisia tabaci. Its description in RNAcentral is "lncRNA ENSASIAIIG002398". Lineage: Eukaryota; Metazoa; Arthropoda; Insecta; Hemiptera; Aleyrodidae. The record is from RNAcentral.